UAUACCGAGAGCCCAGCUGAUUUCGUCUUGGUAAUAAGCUCGUCAUUGAGAUUAUCACCGGGUGUAAAUCAGCUUGGCUCUGGUGUC
Molecule: microRNA precursor, 87 nt
Organism: Caenorhabditis elegans
Lineage: Eukaryota; Metazoa; Nematoda; Chromadorea; Rhabditida; Rhabditidae
Source: Ensembl